Molecule: long non-coding RNA, 42440 nt
Filed under: Setaria viridis
Lineage: Eukaryota; Viridiplantae; Streptophyta; Magnoliopsida; Poales; Poaceae
Description: long non-coding RNA (SVIR_LNC000988)
Source: RNAcentral
UGUAUAGCUUUUGAGGUACUCUAUACUACCAAAGCAAUGAAGUGUUCGGUCGGUUAGAGGUAUCUUAGUGAGUGGGGAUUAAUUCCUUUAUUUGCUCUAGAAAGCAUAGUAUUGCUUGGAGCUAGGAACCAUUUAGGGAAGGUGGGAUGCCCAAGCGAUCUUGCUUGCUGCCGUCAUGCCUAGAAUAUGUUCAAAUUUAUUGGGGGUGAAUCCAAUUCAGGACACGUCUCAAUAGUUCUAUUCUUGACCAGAGGUAGCAUACCGAACAGUUAUAUUCUUUUUUUUUUUUUUUGCUAUGCUAAAAUCACAGUUUAUCGGUGGCAGAGACUUUGUUUGGAUAAUGUUUUUGGGAUUAUAUGACAGGCUCUGAAAUAUGAUAUAUAACUUUGUAUUUUUUGUGCUUAAAUUGUAAGUAACUGUUGUUCUUACUUUGCUAGCUUUUGUACUUUUUCUGCACAGCAGUACAAGCCUUGUAGCUAUACUGUGAUUCCGCCGUUGGUUGCGGCUUGGCAUGCAUGAUCUUGUUACUCUCUUAAGUUUUUUUUAACCUAGGUCAACUUUUGCACACCGAAGUUGUCUCAUGCAUUUUAUAACGAAAGAGUGCUUGACGUAUAGACAGGAAAAAAAAAGGUAUGGACGAUCAUAGCAUGACUUUACACUGCAAAUGUCACUCGUUUAUCCCCAUUCUUUUGUUACAAAUAUGUCUGAGGCAAUAUCCAUGACUGGCUACUGGUAGAAAGUGAUUUUGAUGGCGUGUUUUAUUAGGUAGCAGUAGGUUCAGACUGAGCCGUUCAGUACACUUUUGUUUGAACGACACAUUUCACUACUUGGAAACUGUGAAAUCUUUGAACCAUUUUGUCCUGCAAAUGGGUGCUUGUGUGGCCACGAUUUCAGGUCUAGUUGGUGCAGUCCCUGCUCGACGGUCCCUAAUCAGAAACAGUGCGGAGCCCCCCGUCCGCGCCGAACGCCGAUGAGCCGAUGCAGGCAUCCAGCUAGCUGCUGGCCUGGCUGCCGCACGCACGAUACGAGCCGGUGCCGAGGGUCCCGAGUUCCCGAACCCGAAGCUGCGCGCGUGGGCGGAGGGACUUGGUCAGCUGCGCCGUUGAACUAUUCAAGUCUUACGAAUUAGGUCUUGCAAAUGAUCUCAUCUUUUACAGCAUUAGGAAUAAUCCCAUGACUUCUGUGCCUUGAGCCAUCACGUACAUCUGCAGCCCACGAAGCUAUAUUGGUGUGCUCUUGCACACCAUCUAUAUAUAUAGUAUGACUUGUUUAGCUUCCAAACUCUAGACCCAUUAAAGUAUUAUAAACCCUUUUGCAUCGCCCAAGCUUGCUAGUGUUACUGUCUUUUCAGUGCAUUUUCAACAACUUCCAGUGGGCUGCGAAUAAUCUAAGAAAGAAGAUGACCUAAAAUAUUUUCGGUUUUUAUUUUUUUAGAAGUCGAUUUGUGUCAAGUUGUUCUUUUGUACUGGCCAUUAUGUUUUCCUUUAGAUACGAGGCACUAUUUUGGUGUCUUUCUUAAAAAAAAAACACCGCCAACUGAUCCAGGAAAAUAACAAUUACAAAUCCAAAGACCUAAUUUCAAACAAACCGAGGACUUCGGUUCUUUUUGUUAGGCUGACGAGCUCAGUUUGGUUUGGUUAAAAUUGGCCUGUGCUCUUUCAUGUUUGCUUUGUGGCACACAAUGCACGCUAGAAAUACUAUUAUAGCGGUGACGUGGGCAAAAAAAAAAUACAAAUAUGGGGUCGCACAAUUGUAUAAGCAACAUAGAUAGCCUGCCCGGUUGUACUAGCUUCACCUUAUUUGCAAUGGUUUGCAAAGCUAACAGAUUAAAACCACUUUCGUUUCGAACCCAAAUCUUUAGCGCCUCCCGCUUCUCAAACAAGCGGGCUCAUAGGCUUCUCCUUUCGUAAAACCAAUGUUUUCUUUUCAAAUUUAAGGGGGCAUAUGCACCCAGUGACCAAAUAUAUUUAUGUCCGUGCAGUGGACUGAGUUUGCGCUGUACAUAUGAAAGAUUAGUCGAUCACGAUAGCAAGACUUGCUGCCUUUUUUUUUUCAAAUGUCCACAUCUAUCUACAGGAAUGCAUGGCCAAGUUCACAUUUAGUUCAAAUCGAUUCCUCAAAAGACCUAUGCGAGCCAACCGUGAUAAACAACUUGGUUUAUGGUAGUGGACUAGUGAUAUUAUGAUACAUGUAUCCCGUAUCCGUCAGUUCCCUCUCUCCAAAGCUUUUCUUAUCACAAGGGGAAAAGGCAAACUAUGACCGUGUGACUCUCCAAACAUUUUAGCAUGGCAUAGCACAAUUUUAGGAGCUGUUUAGCAUAGGAAUUUCAUAGGGAACAGUGUGAGUGACUUGCUCAUAUCAAGUUCAAGCAUUUCGAAUUGGACAUAGUUUAUUGCGCAUUUCCCAUUGUAAUGUACAAACUCAAAAUUAUUUUUUUUUCAAAACGAACUGGGCAGGAGAGCUGUCAAUUAUAUUAAAAAUAAGAGGGUCCAGACAGGACAAAUACAAAGCACCAGACAGUGCAAAGAGGAAAGAAAAAACUAUUACAGUCCUUUGUAUGGAAAGUAUUAACAGCGGGCGAGCAAAACAGAAAGUUGCUUUGCCCCGGCCGUAGUCCACAUCGCAGCCUCAUCUUUAAUCUUUUCGAAAAUCAUGUUGAUUGUUCAUUCCUUCCGCUUGAAAAUUCUCGAGUUUCUCUCCUUCCAUACAGUCCAUGAGACGAGCAUGAUCAUGGAACGCAUGUCUUUUCUUGAGGAGCAAUGCGUUGUUGCCCUUGCCGACCACCAAUGGUGCAAAGUUUCCACCUAUUCCCAUAGCAUUGGCUGGAUCGCCGUAUAGGAUAUCCAACUCGCCACCAUGUCCCACAGCCUACGCGUCACCCUGCAUUGAGUGAAGAGGUGCAUUGCCGACUCUUGUGUAUUAUGGCAUCACAGGCAGUUAAGUUGAUUUGGUCACCCCCUUUUGCACAAUCUAUCCGUCGUCCAUAACCUGCUUUGGAUCGCAAACCAGAAGAAGAUCUUACAGCUUCUAGGAGCCCAAACUUUCCAUAUUAGUGCGUCGAAGUUGGUGUACGUAGAGCCAAUGAACUGUGCGUUGUAUGCGGAUUUGGCUGAGUAAAUCCCGUCUGCACUUAGUUUCCAUUUGAUGUCAUCCACCGCCCUUGGCCCAAGUUCCACUUGCUGUACAAUUUUCUAUAGGACAUGCUUCCGUUUGUGGUCUUGCGUGGAGAAGUCUCGGUGCCGAAGGUUGAUGUCCUUAAUCCAGUUCCUGUUAUAUAGUGCUUCCCGCAGACAUCUAUUCUUUUUCCUGGAGAUGGAAUAAAUGUGUGGAGCUACGUCUCUUGGUCAUUGUCCCUGUGCCCAUCCACUGUUCCAAAAAGAAGUCCUAAUCCCAUCACCUAUAUCGAUAGUGGUACAUGUGGCAAAUAGCUUUUUAUCCGUAUUGUUACAGGGAACUUCGGAUCCCACCCAAAGUUUAUGCUCUGCUUUCCACUCUUGCCAUAACCAUCUUAGCCUCAAUCCUCUUGCGAACUUUGUGAGGUUUAGGAUUCCCACACCCCCGAGCCUAGUUGGUCUUGCGGAUCGCACCCAGUUAACUUUGCAUUUUCCGCCUGUGAUUUCUGCAGCUCCGGUCCAGAAAAAUUUCUUCCGUUUAUGGUCGACGUCCUUCAUCACUUCUUGGGGAGCAUCUAGCGCUGACAGGAGGUAUACCGCCAGCGAGGUUAGCACUGAUUUAUUGAGUGCUAGACAUGCCGUCAUGGUCAUAUUCCUCGCGUUCCAUGCGGUGAGCUUGCUAAUCGCCUUAUCGACAACAUACUGGAAGUCUACUCUUUUCAACCACGUCGUCGUAAGUGGCAGCCCCAAAUAUCUAAUCGGGAAUAUUGCUCUUGUUACCUUCGUAGCUUAUAAGCAUCACGCUCGAUUUUUCAAAGUUUGUUCUCAAACCCGACAUCUCUCCAAACCUGGUCAGUAAGUCAGCAAGGGCACUUAUAUCAUCAUUGGUCGGAUUUAGUAAUAUGGUUGUGUCGUCGGCGUACAUGGAGGUUCGCAGAUUUAGGCAUUUCCCUCUGAGUUUGGUCAGGAAAUUUCUAGGAGGGCACGAAGCGGCUCAAUCGCUAUGACAAACAAAAGUGGUGACAGUGGGUCACCCUGCCGUAAUCCUCGCUGGUGCUUGAUGGGGCUGUUCGGGAUCCCAUUGAGGAGGACCCUUGACGACGAUGUGUAAAACAGAGAUGCCAUCCAGUCGUGCCAUUGUGGGGGGGAAACCUAGUCGCUCAAGUAGGGAGAGCAGAUAAUCCCAUCGUACCGGUCGAAAGCUUUUGCGAUGUCGAGUUUGAGGGAGAGUGUCGGUAUUUUGAGGUGGUGAAAUCGUCGCGCCAUAUUGCGGACUGUCAAGAAAUUAUCAUGGAUGCUUCUUUUUUUUUAUGAAAGCUGAUUGUGAUUGCGAUAUGAUGGAUUUCAUACGGGGCGCUAGACGCAUGGCAAGGACCUUGGUAAUUAUCUUGAUGAAGGAGUGGAUCAGGCUUAUAGGCCUAAAAUUAGACACUGCUUCAGCCCCUUCCUUUUUUUGUAUGAGCACGAUAUUGGCUGUAUUAAUUAACGGGAGACUCGUGCAGCGAAGAUUGUGGAAGUCGUUUGUUGCCUCAAUGAGAUCAGCCUUUAUUAUGUCCCAGCAUGUCUUAAAGAAGACACCUGUGAACCCAUCUAGGCCAGGCGCCUUGAUCUCCAUUUCAGAGAAGGAAUCGUCGAGACCGUGUAGGUCCAGCCUGGGUAAAUUUAGGCACUCCCAGUUGAUGUCCUGUGUUCUGCUGCCAGGGUGGCCCAUCAUUAUUACCCAUGGAGUGCCAUUGCUCGGUUUGAUGGAAACUCAAAAUUAUGCAAAUGAGAAGAGGGGGGGUGUAGGUAUAAACUAAGCAUAUCUGCGUAGAAGCUUUGGCUCCAGGCUUUCAGUGCGCUAGCGGUGUGCAUCAGCUUGUAGUAAAGGCAAUGGAAAGGCUCACGAUGAUUGCAAGGUUUGUUCCAUGCUUCGGCUACGAUCUCCUUGAAGCGAGGAAGUUUCGUCCAGAAGUCCUCAAAUCGGAAAGUGCGUGGAUGUCUCGGGCCGCUUUGAUUAGACAUAAGCAGGGGGCAGUGAUCUGAGUGAGACGUUAAGAGGGCGUGUAAGACAUGUGACGCAAAAAGAUCAUGACCUUCCGCGUUGCAGAAUACGCGGUCUAGUUUAACAAGCGUCGGUUUUGCUGCUCAUUACUCCAUGUGAAUCUACGAUUUUGUAGCGUGUUGGAUAAGCACGUCUCUAAAUAGGCUCAUUACUCGAUGAUCCAAUCUCGCAUUUAUAGAGGAGGUUGAAGUCCCCCAUUAUUACCCAUGGAGUGCCAUUGCUCGGUUUGAUGGAAACUCAAAAUUAUGCAAAUGAGAAGAAGGGGGGGAGUAGGUAUAAACUAAGCAUAUGCAUAAGCGUGUUCUUUUUUUCAGGAAUGCAAAGCAGAUAACAGGCAUGUAGUAACUUCAAGUGCAUAAAUAGUUAACAAAAACUCAGAAAAAUAUGGAGAAAUCGUAAUCUCUCCCUCCGUCGCUGCCAACAUCCGUCGGCGGCGUCUCACCAUCGCCACUCGUGCCGAACACCUCAUGCACGACCUUCUCCACGUCCAACGCUCCGGCCUCGGCCUCCACGCCCGCGCCGCCAACGUCGUCGUCGUCGGGAGCCGGGAUGAACGGCGGGCGCGCCACGUCGAGGACGCGGUCCCAGUCCACGCCGCGGAAAAAGGAGUGCCGCUUCACGCCGUGCGCGCCCAGCCGCUUCCCGGGUUCCUUCUCGAGCAGGCGCUCGAUGAGGUCACGCAGCGGCGUCGGCUCGCCGGGCAGCUCCGGCGGCGCGGUGAGGACGCGGUGGAACGUCUCCCGCCGGCUCCGGCCCCGGAACGGCGUGCGCCCGUACAGCAUCUCGUAGAGCACGACGCCGAGUCCCCACCAGUCCACGGCGUGGUCGUGCCCAGCGCCCGCCACGAUCUCCGGCGCCACGUAGUCCUCCGUGCCGACGAACGAGUUCGACUUGGCCGGCGUCCGCGCGCCCGACGAGCAGCAGGACGAGGACGACGAGGCGGUCAGGGAAGUGGACGGUGGGGACUGGGAAGACGAAGCCUCUGGCGAGGCUGCGCGGCGGGAGGAGAAGCACGCCAAGACCAUCGCCGCCGCUGCCUUCUUGUUCUUGCGCCUGCGGCGGUGGCGCGACGAAGGCCGUGACGGCGAGCUGACGCGUCGCGCGGUCGCGUCCGGCGGCGGCGGGGGCGGGGGCGGCGGCAGCGUGGUGGAGAGGUCGAAGUCGACGAGCAUGAUGUGGCCCGAGUCCUGGACGAGGACAUUCUCCGGCUUGAGGUCGCGGUACACGACGCCGAGGCCGUGGAGGUGCUCGAGGACGAGCACCAGCUCCGCAGCGUAGAACCGGAUGACGGACUCCGGGAACGUCGUGUCGGCGCGCCACCGGCGGCGGAGCGACUUGAGGUCUCCGCCGGGGCAGCGGUCGAUGGCGAAGCCGACGACAGCGUCGGUGGCCACGACGCCGCGGAGGGAGGGGAGCAGCGGGUGCCGGAGCGCGAGCAGCACGUCGCGCUCGAACCAGAUCCUCCGGUGCCCGUCGCCGCCGCACGUCCCUCCUGGCCCCGCGCCCUUGUGCCGCGCGGCGGCGCGGGACAUGGCCUUGAGCGCCAUGGCCAUGGGGUCGCCCGCGGCGGAGGUGUCCCCGGCUGCUGCUGCUGCCGCUGCGGUGGCGGCGGUGGCGACGGGCACGACGUGGAAGACCACACCCCUGGCGCCCUGGCCGAGCACGGACAGCGCCCUGAGGUCCGCCAGGCUCAGCUGCUGCGGCGGCGAAGGUGCCAUGCUCCCCAUGGUCGACGUGGGAAGAAAGCAGAGCUGAACAAAGCUGCUUCUGCCUUCUGGUGUUGUUGAGCUGAAGGGUUUUAGGUUUUGAUAUUUACUAACUCCUCUCGGUUUGGUUGGUCUGCUUAUAUUUCAAGUGAUCUUCUUUUGUUUUUCCAAAUUACAAAGUAUGCUGCUUUUCAAAAUCCUCUGGAAAAAAUGGCUUUUCUCCCAAAAAUUCGUCAACUCAAUUCACGUGCUACUUGAUGUCAGAAGCCGCUGUCAUACAGCAUAUUCGCGCCAUCCAGCUUACGGACAGGAAAACCAUGGCUGAGUCACAGGGCGGAAAAUCUGGAGCACAUCUGGAAAGAACUCACAUGGAACCCGAGCUUGUCCCUGGAAGCUCUGGAAGCUGAUUCAUGGGCAGAUGAGCAUGAGCGUGCAGACCAACUGCAACUGAUAACCCAGCGGAGUGUCCUCAAAUUUCACAAAGGCGUCACGUCAGGUGCCAUCUGUUGCUGCCACUAGCCCAAUAGUUCCAGAGGGAAUUAAGCCUUAAGCACCGUCUCGUUCAAUAGUUAAUCCAGCCACGUCAGUAAAGAGCUGGCAGCUAGCUCACGUCCUUCAUGUGAUAUAGCUACUGGUGCCAACUCAGGAGUACGCUUCAACCGCCGCAAAGAUCGCUGUUGGCGUACAAGUAAAUCAUCCGUUUGUAGAAGCCACUUUACACGAAAAGAAUGGAUACUUUUGAUCCUUGUUCAGACUUGAAGGUUCUGGUGAGCUCAAGCAUCCAUCAAUAAGUUGUUUUCAGCUGGGUCACCCGAUCGAUCGAUCAAGGGAUGCAUAGAGCUUCAUGACCUGCUUGGACUUGGACGAAUCAGAUCAAAGUUAGUUUAGGUGUGAUGCUGUACUCGCUGCUGGUCCAAACAACCUAACAGGCAUUUCGUUACUCAGCUACCUCCUAGGCUCCUAAAGGUGCUUAAAGCAUAAUAAGCAUUUGACUUCAACGGCUUUGCACGUUUCAUUCAGAUAGCUUCAAUAUGUUAAGAGAUCCGCAGGUCACUGGCAGUCAGCCAGAACAAAUCAGCGAAUCCAUAGACAUUGUGUAUGAUAAAUAUUGACAUGUUGAAUGAGCUACAAAUAAAAAACACUAAUUCAGCAUAGGUUCAUCCAUUCAUAUCGCAAAUGAUCAGUGUUGAGAUAUAACAAGCAAAACAAUGACUCAUUACAAGUAGGUUUCAUACUUUCAUUAGAUUAAUAAGGUUUCUAUGCAUAAUACAGAGUAAAAUUUUCCAUAAAUCCAGAAAUAAAGCAUCUUCAGUUCAGUAGCCAUACUCUUGUAUUUGAAGCUAUCCACUGAACAAAACAAAACGUGAUGUCAAUAUGUCAUGAACCAUGCUGUUAGUUUUUGCAGUAGAAGUGUGUGACCAUCCCAGGAUUGAUAAAAAUUAGAAAAUCUGCAAUUUACAGCAACACUGGGGUGGCAUUCCUGGUAAAAUGUAUCUAUACCAGUGGUAUUGUAGGAAAUUCAGGAAAAAGAGCUUAUGUGGAUAAAAGAAGAACCUGGUUCCAGCACUGACUAGUGACUAUGACUGAUUCUGUAAUCUGUACAAUUGCCCAAUCCUUUGAAAAGCAACCGAUGCUCAUUCUCCACCUUUUCCAGUUGAAGAGCCCACCAUCUCACCAGUAUGAGAAGAAUUAUCAUUCUGAAAAUACAUCCUGGGGUUAGUUCGGAAUGCACAUAACAAGUAUAGGUUCCCGAUCUCUAUUACCAGAAGUGUGUACUAUUACGAUAUGAAAAAAUGGUCACCACCUUGCUCAAUGCUACUGCACUUGCAGAUAGCGAACUUGCCAUUUACCAGUAAAAGUAGUUAGGAAGGCCACCAAGAAAUAGUAUCUAGCACACUCAUGGUCUCAUUCAUGGGCAUUGUACACUCCCAGUUUACCAGAUGAUACAGAAAGCACUGGGCAGAAAUCAUAUGCCAACUCUACUAGAUUACAGGUACAAAGUAGACAGAAUUCAUAUAUUCAACAAAUGAUCGCCGUUAAAUUGAUAUAACAUCAAACAGUAGCUCAACAACACUACAAGCAUGACCAGUUUUGAACUGGACAGGAACUGAAAAUCCAGAGAGUAUUUACAUCUGAACUUGCGCGCAGUACAACAGUUCUGAUUGUGGCUAAUGCACCACCUAGUUAUGUGCAUCCUUGGUAUCAAGACUCAUGAUCUGGUCAAGCAGAAACUGGUGCCCAAUCCCCUCAAACAUGGCAGGUCUACCACCUGAUUGCAUUGUACAACAGAAGCAAGUAUGUUGCAACUGGAUCUACAAAUCUCUGGAGCAAUAACAUUAGAAAACAAUCAGGCAUCACCUCUUGGCUGAAGAUCUGCUUGAUGAUCAGAUAUCAUCUUUCUUGAUGAUCAGCUGCACACUAGAGUCACUCAGGCUUCACAAAUAUCCGCUUAUUUACAUGACAUCCUAAUUUCGAAAUUCUCCUCCUAUUGUAAAUAUUCAACCCGGACAGGCCGAAACACAAAGUUUCUUGCCUUAGGGGAGCAUAGCAAGGUCGCCAAUGAUACAUAGAAGCUAGUCAUCGUGCUGAUACAGAAUGCACCAAGAGACACCCAUCCAUUUUCUCCAUGCCAGCCACCAAGCCAACCACGAUGAUUGCUUCCUUCCAUUUUCCCUUCUGGCAUCCUUGCAUCCUCAGAGCAUCCUUCACCAGUGCAUAUUCCUGGAUUUCCUGCCAAUGCUCCUGGGAACUUAGAUGUUGGCAAAGGCCCAGACAGACUAUUGUAGGAGAGAUUAAGGACCUCAAGCUCUGCCAUGGCUGCAAUGCCAGGAGGCACCUCCCCUGACAGCCCAUUAUGUGAGAAGUCAAGUGUAUGCAACCUCCCCAUUCCACCAAGCCCUGCAGGGAUCUUCCCAGCCAAGUAAUUACAAGAGAGGUUCAAAUACUCCAGUCCCUUCAUUGCAACCAACCCUUCCGGUAUCUCCCCACGGAGUUCAUUCCUUGACAGAUCUAUCCCAGUAGUUGCCUGAAGAUCAUACACCAGAUCCAACUGCCAUGAAACCGUAUCCACGGAUGCUGACACAAACAACUGAGGUGGAAGCACACCCUCUGAUGGAAUCCCCUGACCACCUCCACUGUUAAGCACUGCACUGGCAUUGAACCCACCAUCUGGGAUGAAACCCACAAACUUAUUGCCAGACAAAUCAAGCCACUGGAGCAGGGGAAACGAGAACAUCCAAUCAGGUAGCUGGCCGGAAAGCUGGUUACCAGCCAGCGACAAGAACCUCAAACUCAACCAUUUCUCUACAGCACUGCUGAGCUCCCCACUGAUGUCAUUUCCCGACAAGUCCACUACCUCCAGAGACCUACACCCAGCCAACGGUAGUGGAAUCUCUCCAGAUAUCUUGUUGUUCGACAAAUCUAGAACCUUGAGGCUAUCAAGAGCGUCAAGCUCCGGCCGCAGCAACCCAGAGAGCCGGUUCCCCCCGAGCCGCAGGUACAGAAGCUGGAAGCAGCCUGCAAGUCCGGCGGGCACUGCACCGGACAGCCGGUUAUUUGACAAAUCCAGCACCUGCAAGUAGGUCAGGUUCCCGAUUCCGGGAGGAAUCUCCCCGGACAGCUGGUUGCCCGCGAGGAACAGACCCUGCAGACUCCGUAUCGCGGUAAUCCCGGCGGGAAUCUCGCCGGAGAAGCGAUUGUGGGAGAGGUCGAGGAGGAGGAGCGCGGAGGCGUCGGGGUCGGCGACGAUCCGCGGGGGGACGGCGCCGGAGAUGGCGUUGCGGGAGAGGUCGAGGGCGGCGAGGCGCGCGGAGAAGGAGAGCCGCGGGGAGAGCGGGAGGCGGAGGGAGUUGGCGGAGAGGUUGAGGGCGCGGAGCGCGGGGAGCGAGGACGGCAGGCAGGUGGGGACGGCCCCGGAGAGCGCGUUGCGGGAGAGGUCGAGCGAGACGAGGGAGCGCGGGAGGGAGCAGGGGAGCUCCCCCGAGAGCGCGUUGGCGGAGAGGUCGAGCGCGCGGAGGCGGCGGAGGAGCGCGAGCGGCGCCGCCGGGAGCGCGCCGGUGAGGUUGAGGCCACGGAGCGCGAGCUCGGCGACGGAGGGGGCGGCGGCUGGCGCCGCGGCGGGGUGGAGCGAGAUGCCGACCCAGGACGGCGAGAGCGGGCCGCGCCAGGAGGAAAGCGCGGCGCGGGAGGGCGGCGUCAGGGCGGCGCGGAAGGCCAGGAGCGCCGCGCGGUCGGUGGAGGCGGGGGCCGCGGGGCUGGGCGCGGAGGCCAGAAGGAGGAGGAGGAAGGAGGUGGUGGCAAGGAGGUGGUGGGGAGCGGUCGGCAUGGCGGUGGUGGUGGCCGGCGUGGGGCUGGCCGGUUAGGGUUUUGCGUGGCGGGGUUUGGGCGCGGCCGCGGAGGGAGGUGGUCGGAACUCGGGGCGGGUGAGAGUGGAGCGGUCGAGUGACUCGAGGAGAGUGUGUGCGGGCGUCUGGAAAUUUGGGGGGAAAGGUGGCGACGGCGGGUGGAGAGGAAUCUGGUUCGGGAACGGAACGGAACGGACGAGAGGCGGAGGUGCGGCCGGCGGCCGCGGGCCCGCGGGCCGGCGAAUGUCCGAUCUCGGUUGGUGAAGCUUCAGAUGUGACCAUUCGACCAUGCUUUGGUUCUCGGCUCAGUGCAAGUAAAAAAAAGUAUGAAAGUGUUUUGACGCUCGAUCUGUCAAAAUUGUUGGUCACGCACGGCCCAUUUCAUUCUUUACAAUCGAUGUUCUUAACGCACUUAGGUGAACACGCUUUUACAAAUUUUUGAUAGAUCCAAUUUUCGGUUGUGUACGAAAUAUUCUAGCAUUGCAGUAGUCUCAAUUUUUUUUCUAACGGCUGUUGGAGUUCUGCAUGGCAUAUAUCAGUAGGCAGUAAGCCAAACAUGUGGAUAGAACUUCCAAAAAAAUGCAUAGUGACUUUGUGAAUCUAAUUAACUACUUCCUCCAUUCCAAAUUAUAGGUUGAUUGACUUUUCUAAGUUCGUAAAUAUUACUAUGCAUGCAGAAUGUGUCCUAUCCUAUGCAUAUAGAUAGUACUUUUUAAGUUAGAUAUAUAUCUCCACAGAUGCUUAGCUGGAGCCUCAAUUCUUACAUGUAUAAUGUGUCCUAUCAUCUAAGCCUUGAUCAGGAAGGUUGUUAAGUAUAAACAUGCACUCCCUUCAUUCUAAAUUGUAGGUCGUUUUAGUUUUGUUAGAUUCAUAGAUAUUAUUAUUCAUCUAGAUAUAGUGUAUGUCUAUGUCUAGAUGCAUAAUAAUAACUUUAAAUCUAGAAAAGUUAAAAUGACAUUCAAUUUGGAACGGAAGAAGUACUAAUCAAAGAGAAAAGGAACUUUGUAAAGGACUAGCAACGGUAUGGAUAAGCUGUUGAGACUUGACCCCUACUAUUGGUGAGAUCGACUUGUAGUACUGUUGAGUAAGUACGGUUAUUACAAACCUCGGAGUUUAUUAGUCCGAAACGUAUUAUACUCGCAAUAUGAUUAAAAAAAGGUUGUAAGAUGGUGAAAUAGUACUAAGACACCAUUUGACAUUCAGGUAGACUCUGGUAUGGAGUAUCUCGUUUAGUGAAGUUAAUCCCAGAAUAUUUAUGGCCAGCUCGUAUUUUUCCCUAAUGUGAGCUGUAUGUACAUGGCGACAUUUUGUUUUAUUUUGGACAAGGAACAUUUUUCUUAGUACGGCCCAUUUGUCGCUGGGGAAAUGGGCCUGAGAUGUCUACUGCCCAGCCCAUCAUGGAAAUCAUGUGUGUACUGUCACGCUUGUGAGUCACGCGAUGCCCUUGGAUUAUUUCGCGAUUAUCCUUUCCCUCCUCCCUUGCGUACGCAACGUUCGCUCGUUUCGUUUCGGCUUUUCUGAGGUCUGGCCUGUGGCUGUAUGGUGACGACGACAUGGCUGCGCAGCCACUACUCCGAGUCUCCCGCGAUCCCCUAGCUAGCUAGCUAGAAGUCUCAUCGGCUCAUCGUCGUCAACGCCCAUCGAGAUCAUCUCUAUCCAUCUCUAACCGCGUACUACGACGCGAUCGGGACGUGCACAGAAGUCACCGCUGACGCCGACGACCUCUUUGGUUGGGACUAUCUUUGUAAUACUCGUGUGUCGGAGGAUCUCUCCACACUCGAAUUUUUUUUACCGUUGGAUUGGGAUUGAAUGGCUCUGAUGUAAUCCAAUUUAUCCUUAUCUUCUUCCCCCGACGGAUGACGCCCCCAACCCCGCAACAACGAGCAGCCGUGCAAGUUCGUGGCCCCGCCUAUAGAUGUCCAUGCAGCCCGCGGCCUGUUAGCCCGACACGGAGUUCUUUUUUUUUGUCUGAACCUAGCCCAACCCGGCACAAAAUUCUUCGAGCCCGUGCUGGCCCGGCUCGGUAGCUUGUGGCGGCGUGGGCCUCCACCCCGGCACGACGGGCGGCCCGACCCGGCAUGAUUUUAGGAGGUCGGCCCGAAAUGGCCUGUUAACCACUCAACCUUAUCCACACCAAUAAACCAUCUCACCUACAGUCCGCUCCCUGCCAGGCUCCCUGCCAUCCUCCCUUUCUGCUCAAACACGCUGUCCGCUCCCCUUCCUCUCCAACCUCCGCCUCCCCUCCGGCCUCCGGCGGCCACCUCCCCGGCCUUGUCGCCCCUACCCCCACCGCUCGCCGCCAUGCCCUUCUCCUCCACGGCGGCGUGGGGUUGGCCGCGGGGAGCGGCAGCGGCAGAGUGGAGAGCAGCCGCGGCGGCGGCGCUAGUGGCCGGCUCCGGGGAGCGGCAGCGGCGGCGAGGGGGCCGGCGGCGGCGAGGGGCCCGGCAGUAGCGGCGAUGAGGGGGUGACGGUGGCAGCAUGCAGGAGGAGACGGUGGCUCAGCUGCAGCCUGCAGUGGCGCACAGCACAGGGAGCAGGCCGUGAGGGCCCGUCGUGCCUCACGGUGGCCCAAAGCCGGCCGUGCUUUACGGGCCGCCCGACACGAAAAAGGCCUUGCGAGCCUGUGCUUGGGUUGCCGGUGCAGCCCGUGGGUUGGCACAACAUGGCACGACGUGGCCGUCAUGACGGGCCAGGCCCGGCACGAAAAAUAACGUGCCUUGCCGGGCCCGUGCUAGACCGAGCCGGGCGGCCCAAAUGGACAACUAUACCCCGCCGCCCUCCCCUACCCCUACUUCAGGCGUUGCUCCUCUCGCAUCUUCUUCUUCAAGUCCGGUCGAGCUCCCCCGCUGCCAUCGGCUCCCUCCCCGGCUCCAGCGGCACAACACCGCGGCCGACACUAACUCGUCCUACUCCUGUGCCCCCGCCAUCUCCACUUCCCACCGGGGGUCUCCCUCCGCCUGGCUUCGACGGCGCCCUCGCAGCCUCCGCUCCCCACCAUCUCUCCCGCCUCCAACGCUGGCCGGCGAGCCAUCCCUGGACUCCCUCUAGGCCCGCAGACACAAGUAACCCCAAACCCAACCUCUAAAAGCUCUCCGCCGAGCCCUCCAUUACCGGUGAAGGAGAAGAAGUCAAAAAAUCGAGUGUGAGAGGUGUUCAAAACACUUGAGUAUGAUUUAGCUUUCCCCUUUGGUUUGCAGCCGUGAGGUUUGACGUCGAGGAUGACCGCCCGAGCGUGCAGGCACACUAGUACACUGCACACAUCCACGCCGGCGCUGCGCCCGUGCUUUCGAUCGAUCGGCGCCGUCGGGAACGGUAGCUGCUUGGGCGAAGCGAAACCAUGACUGGUUUUCCGGGGACGGACGACGACGAGGACGGGCGCACGUCAUGGGAGGGAUAAAAGUAUGGCGCAAGUUGGCGAUAAACUAGGGUGCGGUUGCAGGUGCCGCGCGCGGGCUCCGAUCUAGGAUACUCCGAUCCUCGCCAGGUUCAUGCACCGCAUCUUUCUGGAGGGCGCUGCGCAUCCGCAUGCUCCCGCGCAUGUAUAGCUAGCUGCUAGGACUACAUGCAUGGGCGAUGCCGCGGCGACCGCGACUGGAUCCCGGCCGGCCCCCGCAGCCGCGCGCCCCGUCGCUUUCGCAGCGCUGCGCGUAUCAGAGGGUCAGACUCGAUUCCGUCUCAUGAGUGCCGAGUUGCCGACUAGGUAGCAAUCUGUCCAUCGUUGAAUGAGGAAGCCCGCCGGACAGGUCGACGUACACGGUCUGGAUUGCGAGAUUGUCUUGUUAGCGACGCGCGCCUUCGCGGAUACGAUGGACGGUCGAGUUCACAAGAGCAGCUGCCGCACGAACAGUGACGUAGUACACACACGAGCCACUGAAACGAGGCUUUUGUACCUGCUGGAUAUGGAGCAUCUAGGCAGCAGGACCACAGACCGGGGGAAUCCACACCGAGCGACCGCAACCGCAACCUUCUCCGCCUCUCAUCGGGCACCACUGUACCAGCCAGCCUAGCAUAUCCAGCAUGCACGAUCCAUCGUGGCUUGGGCCGGAUGCCACGGAGGACCGUACCGUAGACGGAGGAAUUGUCGUUGGAAUGGCCUUUCAAUUUGGGGGCAGAAGAGAGUGCCGAUAUGAUCGACCUUUAUCACAAUGCUAGCUAGCUUUAGAUCACGUGCACCUCCGGUGGUUGCAGUUGCAGGUGCAGCGUACGUAGGGAGUGUGUAGAGUCGGUAGACGACGCACGAUGCCGUUGAACCGGACCUGUCAUCAGCCGGCAAUGCAAACGCAACCUUUUCGUUUUCGCCUGCCCAUCCAUCCACGGCGUCGGCGGGGGUGCCGCCUGGCCGGGGCAGGCAAGGCAGGCAGGAAUUCCGUUCCCUUCCUUGUUCGGGCAAGGCAGCGAGAGCUGACCAGCCGAGACCCCGAAGAGAUGCCCUACUGGCCUUUCCACUUGCAGCAGCACCUACCCUAGCUAUAGGCGGGCGGGCGGGCGGUCCCCGCGGGCACCCCGCCGCACGCCCCGAGAACCAAUCGGCGGUCGCGGCCUCCGCCUCCGCCCGCUCUUUUAAGCCCAUCACCACUCCCACUUGCAGUUGCAGGCAUCCAAGUUGCCGUAGUUCUACGCGUAAACGCACGCGCGCGCCACCAGCCAAAAAACCCACGACGUCCCGCCCCGGCCACCGCCCGCCCGCGCGCGCGCCUCCUCCCCCUCCCCUUCCCGUUGGCGGCAACUCGGCGUCCUCCAUGAGGCGUUUCCUGCCGGCCCGCGGCGGCGGCGGGGAGCCGUCGUCCUCGUCGUCGUCGGGCGGGCACCAGCGCAGGGAGCUCGCGGGCGAGGCGGGCCUGCGGUACGACGGAGGAGGCGACAUCUCGCUGGGGCACGGGCACGACGCUGGCGGCGGCCACCGCCGCCACCACCACCACCAGCUCGGCGGCGGCGGCGGGGGCCAGGCGGCGGAGAGGCAGCAGCAGGACGACGGGUCCAUGGACAUGCUGGCGCGGCACAGCAGCUCGCCGGCCGGCUUCUUCUCCAACCUCGUGGUGGACAACGGUGAGCCAGCCAAGCAAGCUAGCGCUGAUUGCUAGCGCAGUCAGUGUUAGUUAUCGCCUGCUCCUCUCAAUCGGCUCAUACUAAUUUCCAAAUGUGCCUUUCUCCGUUUCGAUUAAUUUCACCACAUAGUAUACCAAUUGGGGAAGCAGUUUUAGUUUCCGCCAUGAAUCCUGCUUGAUUUCUGCCGCUGAAAUUAGAUGAACCAACAAUGCAUGGCUAACAGCAUUAUAUCCAUCCAUCGAAUCCUUUCGAGAGCGAUGAGCCUGCUUGUUGUGGCUUUGAUUUGAUAGCAGGUAGCGCAAAGGAAAAUCUUCUAGCUAGUGCACCGGCCACUAGCUCGUCAGCUGCUGCUGCAACUUGUUCCGUGUCGUGCACUGGCCAACUUUACCUGCCGAUUUUGGUGAUUAAAGUAGGAGAGCAGGUACAGAAUUUUUGCUAGAAGAGGCCAAGCCGCGGUUUUGCAUAAAACACAUAUGCGCGGCUUUUUUGCUGGCUGCUGCCUCAUUCAGUUGCCAAUUGCCAUGGCCCGUGGAGAGAGCAGCGGGCAUCUUUUACAGUUUCAACUUGCUAUAGCCUUACUUUUAAUGUGCCCAGCAUUUAGGAUGCCUUGGUUUUCAGUCACAUGGUUGUUAACAUGCUGGGUUACUCAGCAUAAAAUUACAAACCCUUACCUACUCUGAGAAGUAGACACAUUUUGCAGCAAAUCUCAAAUUGCGCAAUGCAAAUAAUAUGAUAGUUUCCCCCUCAUAAUAGGGGAUGGAAAACUAAGAGGCGGUACCCAUUGGCGGUUUUCCCUAUUAGGGCCUCCUUGAUAGUGAAAUGUGGGGCCUGAGAUUUCGAAAGCCACACUUUUAUUCUUUUUACAUGUACUUUUGUAUUCACAUGUCCGUGAUAUGUCUCUUUCUAUAAUCCUACUUGCCAAUAUUAAUUAGAUUUCAUUAGCCACUUGCACACACUGCGCUGAUGUGUUCCGCGUCGCUACCUUUCAUUUAUCCAUUCAUUAAUUUGGACUAGCCGCAAAGUCAUUAUGCGCUUAUUGUGUAUAGUCUAUCUUCUGGAAUGCUACACAUAUAUAAUCUUGGAUACAUAGGAGCACCUAAUAAGCAUGAGUUUGUUGGGUUAACCCUUCCUUUUCUUAUUGGCUUCUUUCUUCACUUCCGCAAAAUGAAGCCGUCCAUUUGUUGAAAUUUUCUAGAGUCAAACAUAUAUAUAAUUGGUAGGUUCUAUCAUAUAUAGCAUGAUGAGGGAACUAUUAAUCAUACAUCCUUAACUAUGGUACUAUAUGUGGAAACCAUACAUUUGAAUAUAUGUUAGUGGAUGAGCGUGAUUAGUUGAUGUUGAUGUGAUCUCCUUUAUAUAGUUUAUUUAGGUUGAUAAGAAAACCAUCCCUUUGCCGCAAUAUUGCGUGUACUAUGGUCGUUUGAAAAUAGUGGUCAAAGAUCAUUAUUUCUCCUCCUGUUAUUCUUGAAAUUAAUACUUCUCUACUUUUAGGAAAAAAAAAAGAGAACGCAUACGUACGUAUGCAAAUCCAAGAAGGUUUGAUGCAAAAUCUUAAGAGGCCAUACGUACAUAUAGAAUUUGUUCUCUAUAUACUUGGGGAAAAAAAAGAUUUGUUCUACAUAAAGAGAGAUAUUGUCUACAAAAGUUGCGUGUCUCUUAGCAAAAGUAAGAGACGACUCAUAGAACAUAGUGUAUGUAUGUUAGGUGUUUUUAUAUAUUUAUCAUCCACCCUAUCUGCACACACAAAUCUUUUUAGUUACAAAUCAUUGGAAAGUACAUUUAAUUACAAAUUCAACCAUUUCAAGUUUACAUCACAAAAAUAAAAAAAUAUUGGUUAAAUUAUUGAUAAAGAUAGCAAAGUUUGAAUCUCGAUAUGCAUGUACACCUUAUAAACAUAAACGGAGGGAGUAUCUUUAAGGUGUCUUAGCAAAGAGACAACCUCUAUUUUCUCUUUAAUUAGUAGUAAGAUUUUACUGAUGUGACUAUACUAUUCAUUUUUUUUUUGAAAUAGAGUAAUAUGACUGCAGUUCACGAGACGGCCAAAAUGGCACCAUUCUGCAUGCCCUGAAGACACAGUAUCUACGAAGAAGCAAACCGUAUCCAAGGCUAACGCUACCUUGCCUGAUUCAAACCUGCCAUGUCCGGCCAGUGCUAAACCAAGUGGUGGGUCCCACAUGGCAGGUUGGCUGCUGGUAUUUCUCGAGAGGCGGAACGAACGGAGAGUCUAGAUCCUGGUCUAGAUUGGCCACUUGCGAAAUUACGAGGCAUGCUAGCUAAUUACUGGAUCUUUAAUUAGCGCUUCAAGCCCUAACCAGAGGCGGCCAACUUGCCUUAAUCAAAGGCGGGACCACAUGGCACGCCCACUUGGCCGCGGCGGGCCCCGGCGCUGUCCCCAGUCCAGGUUCAGCUGACGGCUCCACCGUGACGUCACGGCCGUUUUGCUAAAAAUAGUAACCUAGACGCCACUUGCGAAGUGCCCUUGGCGCUUCGUGCGCUCGCAACGUCCACGCCCGACGCUCUGCUCGCUGCUGCUCCUCGCUAGUUGCAACUUGCAAUACCUUUCUGUCCAAUUUUUUUUCGAAAUAAACUUUCUUUCCAUUUUGUUAAUCUCUGUUCAGCUCAUGCAUUAACUAUUUUGGGCAAUUUGAUGAUUUUUAAUUAUACGCGGCUGGUUGGGUUAAACUACGCAGGGUAUCCGGGCUCAAAAGGCGCCGGAGGCAGCGGUGGCGCCGAAGCCAGCGGCAGCGGCAGGAAGAUGAAGCCGUCCCAGUUCAACUUCACCCGGCCGCAGCCAGGCGGCGCCGCGGGCCACCUCUCGCAGAUCUCCGAGGACGGCGCCUUCCCGCCCGGCCUGGUUGGUGACCGCGCUGGCGAGAGUAGUAGCAGCGGUGGUGGCGCCGCCGCGGCGCGCUCCUUCUCCGGCGGGUUCUCCAUCGUCGGGCCGUGGGAGGAGUCCAGGGACAUCAUCGCCACCCUCGGCGCGUACGACUCUCAGGUACUCGCCAGCUUAUAGUAAGUUUCAUGGCGGUGAGUGACGUCGUCGAUCGUCCUGUUGUUCUUGUGUUUGAGGGAUCUAUGUGCAACUGUGCCUGCAGUUUAGCGGCGCCAUGGCGGGCACGGCGCUGGAGAUGGCGGGCAUGGACAGGUACAUGCAGCUGCAGCCAGACCAGAUGCCGUUCAAAGUGCGCGCCAAGCGCGGGUGCGCCACGCACCCCAGGAGCAUCGCCGAGAGGGAGCGGAGGACGAGGAUCAGCGAGAAGCUCAGGAAGCUGCAGGAGCUUGUGCCCCACAUGGACAAGGUAACUUCGACUCCAUCUAAGACAUCACUAAGUAUAGCAUUCAUGAUCGUUGUGCAAAAGUUAUCCCACGCACACAGGUCUAUCGCUUGUACUCCUAUAAGCAGAGUACUGAUCACUCGAGUACUCCCGUCUCAAAUUACUAUUCGCUUUGAUUUCUCUAGAUAUAGAGCGUGUUUGGGACUACUCCGCUUCAGGUUUUGUAACUCCGCUUCAAAGUCAUCUUGCCAAACACUUCCGGCUCCAACAAUACUAACUCCAGAAAAAAAGGUAGAUUUAAGGAUCAAUUCCAAAGCUUUUAUGGAGCUCCUUAGAGGGUGCUCCAAAAACAUAGACUUCGUACCUCAAUACCAUUGAUUACACAAUGUGAGGGAAAAGGAAUCGAUCUCCUUUAUGCCGCCGCCCCCUCCCCUCCCGACUGUUCACCGCCGCGCCGCCCUACCUCUCGCGACACAGUACCGCGCCACCCCUUCUUGCUUGCUCGGGCGUCCAGAAAUCCGGUGCCACCCCUUCUUCGAUGAAAUUCGUCCAAACCAAACACCAACUCGUCCUGAGCCUUUAACAAAAGUUGGAGCUGGUACAAAUAUCUACGAGUAAUAGAUAGAACUUUUGCUUCAAAGAUCAAUGGAUUUAAAGAUACGAACCGCUGAAAUCUGGACAAAAACACGAGUUCCUUCUAAACCUUUAGACUUGUCCGUCGGUAACCCAGGAAAUACUGAACAAUGUAAAGUUCAUUCUUUGACCUCCAAUUUAAAUAUCCAAACUUAUUUUUCUAUACUCAAGAACUACUGAGAUAGGUUAACCAUAUAUCACACGUCCCAUUUUGAGUAAACUUAUUCAAAGUUUUAGCCACUGGGGGCACUGUAGCAGUUGGGUAAUGUAGCUUGAGAAAACAAACCCCAACCCCAACCAAGGGUAAUAGGAAAAUAAACCCCAACCCCAACCAAGGGUAAUAGGGUAAUAGGGACUAUUCCGAUACGAUUUCUGGAGCUGGAGUUUACACCAUUAGCCAAAUAGGUUCAUAACUCCCUAUUUUUCUGGAGUUGGUGGAGUGGAGCUACAAAAAAGUGGAGUUGGUGGAGUGGAGCUGUUUUUUUUAAGCGAAGCAGUCCUAAACAUGCCCAUAGACAGGUGCACAUCAAAAACUAUGUAUCUAAAGAAGCCAAAACGAAUACAUAGCUAAUGGGCUUCUCUAGUAUUCGUUUUGAUAUGGCAAAAGAAAAUCUAACUGAUGAAGUGAUCUAUGAUCUUGUCUAUAUGGUGCAAACAGCAAACGAGCACCGCCGACAUGUUGGACCUUGCAGUGGAGCACAUCAAGGGCCUGCAGAGCGAACUGCAGGUAAGAAUGCAUGUCCACCUUUCAGCUGAUCACGUACAAGCGGCCAUUUUCGACAGCACGUCAAUUUGAUGUGUGUUUUGAACCAUGAGGCGUUACUGAACUUCGUUCCUGUCUGCAGGCUCUGAAACAUGAGCAGGAGAAGUGCACCUGCUGCAGAAAGCGCUGACGAUGCCUUUAUUUCCUCGAGAGGAAUUGAUGUACAUGGAUGAAGCUGUUUUAACAUCGUCAUUGAUAGAUUCUCUGCUGAGAGAGUCCUAAAUUUUAGUUAGCAGUUAGCACAUGGGAGUGCCGAUGGAGCAUGCAUGCAUAAUUGCUGUCAAAUGGGUGCAUGUGCAAAUUGUGCAUGCAUGAAUGGAGCUCCGCCAGCCGUUUCCAAGUAACCACACACCACCAGUGGUCAACUAGGCAGUGCAAGAAAGGGCAGAGGUUCUGUUCUGAUAAUUUGAUUAUUGAUUUUGUGUGUGUUUCUGAUUGAUCUUUAACUUGAAUUUUAGAUCCCUUUUUAGUCCAUCUGAAAACAUUUUGCUAUUUGUAAGCUACCUGAUCUUGUUUUCUUAAGAGCAAAUUACUUUAAAAAUUUGUACAUGGUCAUUGAUUUUGUAUAAGGAUCAAAUGUGUUGUUUGACUGAAUGUUAAUUUCAAUGGAUGAACAAAGAUGCAGUAGCAGCAGCAAAGGAACCAUAUCUCAGUUUUACACUGUACGAUAGUUGGAGAACGUAUAGGCGCCAUGAACCGCUGGCGUCCACGGUUAUGCAUGUGCAAUAAUGUCUUAUAUAUGUAUUCUGUCAUGUAUAUGUAGCUUGAGUGAAAUAUUAUCUGGCAGCAAAUGAGUUUUCUACGCUCUAGGUUUCCGUUAUCUGAAAUUAAAAUUACCGAUCAAGAUCGUGCAUCUGAACUCACUUGGAGGAUUAUGAAACGGUAACAGAAAAUGGGCCAUGUGCUAAGUAGGAACUCAACUUCAUUUUAAGUGACCCUAUUAGCCCCUGAUAAGUACAAAGAUAAAACUUUCAGAUCAUUCACUUGCAUUCAGCCCAAACACUUCAGCUAUAGGAGGUGCGUUUAAAAUUUUGGUUUGGAGAACGAAUGCGUUCAUCCACCACCACCUCAUCCCUCACAAGCACAUGCGUGAUUAUACCUUGAUAAUGGAAUUAUUUCAUCCAACCAAAAUUCAUAAGAUAACAUAAUAAACCAUUCUAUUCUGGUGGUUCCUAAAACGAAAAAUCCCAGAAAUUCAAUAAUUCAUCAAUCCCUCCUGCCCUGCAGUCAAACUAAACCUAAUUUUGCAUAACUGAAGAAGGGCAACUAUGCAAAGAUCCAGGAAAAUUCGUACCACCUUGACAAUUUGACUGAGAAUUAGCAUCAAAAGAAGAAACAAAUAAGACUAGCUACGCAAUUGCACAACAUCUUGUUAUUGAAACAUAGAAACAAAUAAGGCUCGGCUUAUGAUUGAAGUAUUUGGUUUGCAUUAGCUCCCUUUACAUCGACAAACAAUCGUGCUACACUGAACAUAUGAAGCAAAAAUGUAAGAACACCAACUAUAGCUGUGACACUAAUUAAUCUAAGCUGCCCGCCGAUGUUGAGGUACGCGGGAACUCUACCGGCGCCGGGGACGCGAAUCCCUUGUGGUAGAGCAAGUCGGUCAUGACCCUGUACGCGCGCUGCGUCAGGUGCACGCCGUCCCAGCUGAUGCGCUCCUCCGGCCUCGCGCACACCGACGCGCCCGGCGCGCCGCACAUCCGCUCCAUGUCGAAGUUAUACUCGCCGCCGCCGGCGCCGCAGCACGCCUUGGUCACCGCGCCCUCGUCGAACCCCGUCUUGCCGGCGUCCCUCAGCAUCCGCACGUACGCGUAGAAGUAGUCGGCGUAGGCGAUCGUGGCGCUCGGGUAGGACCGGCGCAGCUCACGGAUCUCCUGCUGCAGCAGCACGUUGUGCAUCUGGGCGAACAGGUUGAGCGACAUGAGGCAGCCGUUGGCGUCGUAGGCCGCCGGGUCCUUCUCGUUCACGGCGGACAUGUAGCUCGGCACGCAUCCCAGCGGGAAGUUUCCCGGGAUCACCAGCCGCGUCGCGCCCAUGUCGAGGAGCUCCCUGGCCGUGCUCGUCACGGACUGCACCACGUCGGGGACGAGCGCCAUCGCCUCGACCACGCCGGUCGCCAUGCGUCCGAAGUUGUAGAGGUUGCGCUCGCCAUUGCCCGCUGGUUUGUUCGCGGAGAAGGCGUAGUUGUAAUCGUUGCCGCCGAUCUCCCCCACCAUGACCAGCGAGUGGGACAGCUUCUCGCGCAUCUCCUGCGGCGACCGGGUGUUUGCGUUCAUGAAGUCCUUGAACUGCUGCAGCUGGACGGCCAGGGAGGUGUUGGUGUGGGGAACAGCGACCCCUCUCCUCGCGAGCGCCGCCGCGUCGAGGGCGGUAGCACCGGCGACGGCGAAGUUCACGCCGUGCGUGAAGUCGGCGCCCUUGUCGAGGUACGGGUUGAGAAGCGGCAGGCCGAGGUCCUUGGCGAGGAAGUCUAUCAUGAGGUACCCGUCGGAGCACCGGCCCGUGGCGCCGCCGAUGGCGGAGCCGUAGGGAGGACCCAUGCUGUGCCGCAGCAUGCCGGUGGCGCCUUCGCGGAGCAGGUUCCCGGUGUCGGACAGGGAGUCGCCGAAGUUGUAGAUGGCCGUGACGCCGUCCGCCGCCGCCGCCUUCUCUUUGGCUGGCAGCUUGUUGGGUGCCUGUUGCGGCGCUGGCCUUGCGUGGCACGGGCCGACGACGAGGAGCAGCGCCAUGAACGCGACGAGCAGGGUGCGAGCCAUGGUUGCCAUGGGGCGCUAAGCACGUUGGUCUUUCGCUUCGGUGUGGAGAGGUUUGAGGCCAGGCAGGUUCCUUUUAUUGGGCGCGAUGGGAUCAAUGGAGCCGCUUCGCCUAGCCGAUCGGACUAGGAAACGCGAGCGUCGUCCGAGUCGGAGACCGAUCAGCAAGCGGAGUUCACCGCGUGGACGUCUUGGCGCACGAAUCUCCAGGUGUAGUGAUCACCGGCGGCACCGCUUGACGGACGGUGCCUGUGCGAGUGUUUGAUGCAUACCGCAUACCCUGGCCGAGCCCAAAAUCCGUGCGCUGACGUAGUUCCGGUAUCUGCGGAUAAGAAUAAGAUCAUCGGCCAUUGUUUAUAGUUCGAGGAUUGGAGCUCUCUGCACUUUUCUGAUCCUUCUGCAUUAGUGUUCUUCUGCACUUUUCGAAGCUGCAAUCAAACAUAGAUAAAAUCCCGCGACUUCAUCGAUAACAGUGCAACUACUUGCUAUUAAGCAGAAACAUGCAUGUUCACUUCAGCUUAUCAGUCAGCUUAUCAAACACCGAAUAGUAUUUUUCUCUCACAACAAAUCAGCCAUUUCAGCUUUUCAGCCGGCUUAUAAGUCCAACCGAACAGGCCAUAUUAUUUCCACAAGUAUACCCUGAUGACAUGAUCUCAAGAGGCUUCUUCUAUAGUUCUAUUCUGCAUAUGCUUCAUCGGGGGUGCUGCCGCAGACCUGCGGUCACCCCCUAUUUCUAAUUUAUUUCUCAAUAAAUAGAUGUACAGGCUACAAAAAGUGUAGGGAUGAUGUGCUCUACGUGUACGUACACUGUAUGCUUCGGUUGCUGCAUGAAUUGCAUGUCUCACUUUACAAAACAAACUACAGAGGCUAGGCUAGAGCCCUACUCCUCGGCAGGAGGGUCCACCCACCGGCCGUUGUCCUUGAUCAGCUGGAUCAAGGCGUCGGUGGCGCCUUCCAUGGCGAUGCCACGUUGCACGACGGUCUGCAGAGAGAAAGAUGCACAUUCUGUAUUAGCCGGAGACCGGAGAAGGAAACCAGAAGCUUCAGGACGCAUGACUGCAGGUGGUGAACAUUUUUCGUGCUAUCAAAAGUUCACAGUACCAGACGGUGUUUCUUGAUACCACAAAUCCACAGCUAUUGCUCAACGACAAAUGCAGCAAAAGUUUCCAUUUCGUAUAUAUGAUGAUUGUGGCACCCAAGCACUGGAUGGUUGGUUACCUUGCCAACGUAAAGAUCGAUCUUUCCAGGAGCACCUCCGACGUAUCCAAAAUCAGCAUCGGCCAUCUCUCCUGGCCCAUUGACAAUGCAACCCAUGAUAGCGAUCUGCCAGGCAAAUACGUAUACCGUUGAUCAGUAUAAUUGAUACUUCCUCCAUUUCAAAUUAUAGGUCAUUUUGAUCAAAUUGUAGGUCGUUUUGACAUUUCAAAUUAUAGGUCAUUUUGAUCAAAUUGUAGGUCGUUUUGAAUUUUCUAAGUUCAUAGAUAUUCCAUUAUUAUGUAUCUAGAUAUACACUAUAUCUACGUGCUAGCAAAGACUAUGCACUAAAAAACUAAAACGACAAUUUAGGACGGAGUGAGCAGUAAAGUGAAAUACAUAUACAGUUGAUCAGGCAUAUCAGCAUCACGAGAGCUUACCGAGACGCCUGGCAGAUGAGAGGUCUUUUCUCUAAUCUGAGCACUGAUUUCCUGAAGGUCGAAGAGUGUUCGCCCACACGAAGGACAAGACACGUAUUCCUGCAACAUUCAUUAGCAGUCAAAAAUCACUUUGACAAAAUCUAUGAAACAUCAACAGUUGUUUUUUAGUAUGGCCGAUUUUGAAGUUUUUUUUCUGUAUGUUGUAGGGAGAGUGCUGCGGCUUAAUCACUACAAGUCUCCAGAGGUAGCCAUGCUAUUUUAAACAAAAAUACAUCAACGUACAGUUUUUGUGUUGCGCAUUCUGCAACCCUGAAGUAAGUUGAAAGAUGUGUCCCUCAGGAACUCAAAUUCCUGGUCAGCAGCUUCAAGAAGUACACCAUCACCAAGACCAUCGACUAGGAGAGCACCAACAUUGGCCCCGGCACCAAUGACAAGAGCAUCUCUGCAGUUAAUUGGAUUAGAAUAAGCACAAGAAAACCAGGUCUCAACAAUUCAAAGGGGUUCGAAAAUAGGAAUGUUGACAAUCACCUGUCAAUGGUUUUGGGGAAAUCUAUGUGAUGGAUUACAGGAAAGUUCAAGCCAUUGGUCUGUAAGUACUCAAAUAACCUGCAAAGCAUGAAAAUUUAUAAGACACUGUAAUCAAAAUGAACGAAAAAGCCUUAGGGAACAGUGUUGCUAAGCAUGGAUACAUGAUAAAUAAAUGGCUCCCAAACAUGUGACCCAUUUAAUAGAUUGAUCCACUGUGUUUGCUUACCUCCUAGCAGCAUGUACUCUACCAGUCCUCUCCUCACCAUAUGGAACAUUAUGUAGCAGCAUUGUUAUAUCAUCAACACCCUUAAGGAUAUCUAGCUGCUCGUACGAUUCAUCUCCGCGAAUAGUGACAGCAAGUCUGGUGCCUACACACACCAAAAAAAGACAAAAAAGGCAAACAAAACAAGAUAUUAAAUACUCCCAACGAGAGAAAAAAAGAACCACAAGCAACAAUAUAAUAGUUAAUGCAAAUCAUUACCUUCUGGCAAAAGUUUGUGAGCACCACUUGACAGUUCGUCAAGGUUGACAAGCGCAAUUGCAUGUGGGAGUGGCUUUGUCAACUGCUCCGAUAAAGGGGUCAACACGCCCAUGCUGAUGUCAACUAAUCUUUUAAGUGCAAGCCUCUGUAUACAUUGACAAAAUUAUAACAGAUAACUAAGAAAGGGAAUUGAACGUUAUGCACUUGUGAUGGGGAUGAAGAAAUGGUGUAACUCACAGCUUCAGUAUCUUCUACAGGGGGGAGCUCCCUCAAAAGAAUGGAAUCUACAGUAGCAAGGUCCUGAUGUUCAUAGAAGAAAUGAAUCAGUUUAAACUCAAUGCCCAUAAAAAAAAUAGUCAUGUGAUAGCUCAUAAAACCAUAUAUCAGACCUUGAAAGGCAUGCCAACCACAAGCUUCGUUGCAAGAGACCUAUAAAGGAGCUCAGGAGCCUGGCAAAUAAAAGGAAUUUUCAUCAUUACAGAGCACAUUUAUCUGAUGGCCAGACAAUAAAGAGUGAUUCUAAAACCUAUUUUCAAAAGCUAAAUGCCUGGAAAACAACAAAUAUACUGCUGAAUAUAUACUUCAAAUGGAUUACAGAUUCAAAUUUACAGAUGCUAAAAUUUCUUCGUAUAGUUAUACAUAUUGUAGAAAAUUCCAAAAAGAAGGGUAGGAAUGGUGCAGGUUACCUUCAACUGAUCCAAGGAAACUGACAUCAGUACAGAGCCAUCACGAUGCAGGACAUUUCUGUAGUCAACUUCCUCACCCUGUCAUAAGAGCAACUGAUGAGAAAUCAAGCACUAUUAGUUUUUAUGAUCAGACCAUAGAAUUAUUGUUUUAACCAACCUCCUUCUGCAAAGGCAAUUGACCACUCCUACGCUGGAAAUCAAAAUAAUGCCUGUGCUUUUCUUCAAAUGGGGCCUGUGAAUACAAGAUAAAUAGCAAAAAAAAUUAAGAAAUGUUUAAGGGAAAGCACAAGUAUUAAGGACUGAAAUUUACUGUGUUGUGACAGAAUAAGGGGAAAGUACGCAAAGUGAAAGUGCAUUACCACUCCGAUUUGAAGGUUGGCAGCCUGUGUCCCAAGAUUUGCCAACCUUUGGCAAGGAUCGAUCUCUUCUUCUGGUGGUUCCGUGAGGGAGACACGGAUUGUGUCACCCAAGCCAUCCUGUAAUACAACAAGCAGAAGAUAUAGUCCUAUUCCUUUUGUAGAACUUGCCGGUUUCCACAUAAUUAAAUCCAUUCACAGGAAACCACUAGUCUUGUACUUCUAUUAUGUGUCAGCGAAUAGCAUGGCAAAGGUCCCGAAACAUACCAUAUACAACUUAUACAAACAUGAUACCAAAAAUAUUCAUCUUCACAACUUUCAAUUGUGAGCUCCAAAAAGUGAAGAUACUCUUCAUCCAGUGAAAAGGCUACCACUUCCAUGCUCUUAUUUCAUUUCUAGAAUACUCAUAUGAAACAGAUUUAACUUCAUACGACAGAACUAAGUAGUGAAGCAAUUACCAUUAGAAGUGUUCCAAUGCCAAUAGCAGACUUCAUCCUUCCAUCUUCACCCUCUCCAGCUUCGGUAACACCCAAGUGCAAGGGAUAAUCCCAUCCUAGGUUAUACAUUUCUGCAACAAGCAGGCGAUAUGCUUGGACCAUGACAACAGGGUUACUAGCUUUCAUUGAAAAUACAAAGUUGUGAAAGUCCAACUUCCGACAUAUCCUAGCAAAUUCCAAAGCAGACUCAACCUGCGAUAGUAUGCAGAAAAUGUCAAGCAUCUACAGGCUGAUGGUUAAAUAUAACCUCAUAAAUGAGAUAAUCACCAUUCCCCGUGGAGAAUCACCAUAGUAACUCAUUAUGCGGUCAGAGAGACUUCCAUGAUUUGUUCCUAUGCGCAUUGCUCUCCCAUACUGCUUGCAUUUCUCAACUAAUGGAGAAAAUACCUGAAACGGGAUUAAAGUGGCUCUGUAAGUAAGAUAACCUAUUAUAUGUUCAUAUUGAUUAAAACAAGACUAACUGAGAGACAAAUUUUCAACCUUCUCAAUAUGCUCAAGCUCUUUUUGGUAAUCGUCAUCUGUAUAUUCCAGCUGCUCAAACUGAGCCCGACGAUCAGCUGCAAGUACAUUUCUCAGUAUUUCAGAAUGAAACGAGAACAUAAACAUACUAAAAUCAGUGUUGUCAAGAUUUCACUCACCAAAAUUUCCGGGGUUCACACGAAUUUUGUCAAAGCAUUCUGCCACUCUUAAAGCUACCGUAGGAGCAAAAUGAAUAUCGGCUACUAGUGGAAUGUUGUAACUGUAUGAACAGAAUGAAAAAUGUGAGGACUCAAGUAUGUGAACACACUGAAUGUGAGGAAAAUGACAGCUUACUUCUUCUGAACCAGGGUGUUCUUGAUCUCAAAGCAGGCAUCAGCCUCCUUCUUACCCUGGACGGUUAUUCUAACAAUAUCAGCUCCUUUAUCUGCUAUCCUCAUCACCUGAAAGGGUGUGAAUUACAUCUUCUAUUAGCAACCUAUACACAAAACAGAAAUCCUCUGAAAAAGGGGUGACUAAUUCAUUUCUCAUAUCUAUGUUCUAUAGAGAAUACUAAGUACAACCAACAUGAACUUCAGAUGGGAUGCACCUCUUCUACAGUUUUGGCAACAUCCUUGGUAUCUGAAGUCGUCAUGGUCUGAAUCCUUAUGGGAUGAUCACUACCGAGUGGGACAUUCCCCACCAUUACAGUACGAGUUUUUCUUCUCCUUGUCUGGUGUAUAGAUUCACAGUACUUUUGCCUGGGGACUAAAGAACAGAAGAAAAUCUCAGUUAGAAGAAGGAUCGCAUAGAUUAAAUCUGGGACAAAUCCCUUGACCUGAAAUAUACACAAUUACACAAAUACAAACAUGCAAGGACAAUAGAGCACGCAGAUCAUACCUAAAAGUGGGCUUCCUUCUGAUGAUGGCUCCAGCUCCAUAGUAUCUGAACCAGUACUCGAGCACUUCACCACAAGCGCCCUGCCCCUCGAGGAGCCUGUCCUUGUAGUUCCGACGCCAGGAACAGACAAGACCUUAGCAAAGUCGACGCUCCUGGUGAAGCCGAUGCCACCAUCGCGCACCCUGACAUGUGGGAGAGGGGCUGGUGCCACGCCGGUGGCCAUGGCCGUGCCCAAGCAGCAGGAGCUCAGCUAGGCAAUUCUACAAACACCUGCAGGACAAACCAACAAGUGGUGAGGGGAGCACGGAGCACUGGCCACUGAUCCUGAUGGGCACAGGUGGAAUAUACCCCUAUCGCUGGGUGAGCAAGAACAGGACAAAUAUGGUGUGGGCUACUAAACAUGGGCAUUUAACAAUUCGUGCACUGAAUUGACAACAUGUUUUGCAUAAUAGGUCGCAUAAAAAAAUUUAGCAAACUCGAAUCAAGCGCCUUUCCUGGUGAAGGUAGCGAGAAAAACAAUAGUUCGGAGACGAAAAUGGCGUAGAUCCUUAUUGGCAAACGAGUAGGAGAAAUGCUCAGCUCAAAACCUUCCUAAUCCCAAGAGGAUUCUACUGAAUUCGAUCGAACUACAACCUGACAAACUAACUGUGAGUGGGUCCUUCAUUUCCUCCCACCCACAAAAUCCAAAUUCCCCAAACCAGAGCAAGCAAACUUCUAUAAAAUUGGCUCCUGAAGCACCCAGCACUGAUUCAACUAUCCCAAGGCCCAAGCUGCAGAGGAGAAUUCAGCCAAACCAAGCAUGAAUCCCGCCCCAGCCACACAGCAGGCAGCACACAACCAACGCGAUCGGACAUCGGAGGCAGCAAGCUAGCAAAUCUCACCAAACCUCGCCGAUUCGUGUCGCGACGACACCUCCCGCGCCCGCUCACUUUCGGCGGCCACCACCGCCACCGCGAGCGCGGCGAAGCAGAAAAGCGAGCGCGAGUGCGCGAGUUUUUUUUUUCCUCCCCAGAGCAGCCGGGCAGGAGGUAGAGGCCAGAGGGCUCGUGGCAGUGGCGCGCGAGUUCGUGGUGGGUUUCUACUGGAUAGCCCCCUUUUAUCUCCAAGCCGCAGGGGGCGCCCGGGGAUCCACGUGCACCGGGUCCUGGAACACCUCUCAGGCCAUGUCCCUCUGGCUCUCCGGGCCCGACGACGCGUGCGCACGGGUGCUUGAGGACCCGGUGCGGGGAGGUGCGGCGGGCGAGGAGGGGCCGGAGGUGUGGAAGUGGGAGUUCCGGCCGCUGGCGCUGCCCGCCAUGAUUUUAUCGUGUCCGUCGUUUUCCCAUGAGACACGAGUCCAGUUUAUUUUUACGAAGGAAAUUCGUAGCGGUGUUUUUUUAUGAAGAAUUCGUAGCAGCGUCUGUUAGCUCGCUGCGUGUGUUAGCCAAGAAACUUUUGUUAUCGUUGUUGCAGGCUUGAUUGAGGACGGAGUUCACGAAUGUUCUUGGGAGAUGCAGACGGGAUCUUCAAAUUUUUUUCCCCCAAUUUACACUGUUCAGUCUAUUUUACUUUCAUUAUGACUCGACAAAUUUUUGUUUUCCUUGUGUUCACUGUACAUUUUACUUGAUUUCGAGCAGCAGUAGUAUCCGGCAUGCACUUCGGACUUUACUCUGACGAGGAGAGAAAAUGCUUCGAUUGAUCCCAAAAAAACACAAAGUGCGCUCGGCGCUGUCAGUCGUCAAGCCCACAUGUUCAAGGUAAGAAGAACGUGCGCCUCUGGUCACGCAUCGACUCGCCUGUUGGUGCUCUCUUUUUUUCCUUGGAGCCUUGGAGGAUUCGGCGUGCGCGAGAGAGAGUUGGAAGAACGGCGGGGCCGCCCGUGCCGCGCCGCCAUGACAGGGGUGUGCGUGCAGCUGCCGGACGGAGACCGGAAGCUGGCGAGUCCACACCACAUGUGUUGACCUGAAACGGAGCUCAGCGCACGUUCUGGUGUUCCCGUCCAAGCGCCAAGCACAUGUGGGAGAAGAUUUCACAACACAUGUUUCGCGCUGGGGACUUGAAACUGGGCAAGACUGACCAGAUCCUUAAGAACUCUAACUUUGGUCCUGCCGUAUGGUACCGGUAGAAGAGUGUGAUGUUUUUGUCAAGGCCUGGCCUAUUCUUCAGGAUGUUCUUGCCUCCGACCACAAGAACACCGAAGAGAAGUGGAAGUUUUCGUCCUAGAAAAUAAAUACAGAAGUUUUCCCUGCAAGAAGGUUGCGCAACUUUGCAUUAAGAAAAAUAAUAAUGCAAGGGUUCUACACAACGCGCAUCACCGAAUCGAGCGCACGGCGGGUGGCCGAGGCCCAGUUGUUGUGGUUUACAUGAUCGAUCGAAACAACCUCGAACAGCUAACCAGGAUGACAGAGCUUUCACGAGUGAAGACCAGAUUGAGAUGGCUGGUAUAGAGGUUGCCAAAUUUUGAUAACAAAUCAAACAGUGGCUAAAAAAUUGGCUUGCCAAAAUUUUGGCAUGCUAAAAUUUUAGCAACCAACCAAUCAGAUCGUAAGACUCGCACUGUCGUAGAAUUGCUAGUUUUCUCUCUUUUCUUUUUCUUUCCUUUUGUUUUCUUUCUUUUUAUUUUUGCGUGAAAAGAGUAGAGCUGCUAGGUUGGCCGAGAGAAGGUAGGUCGGAGGCUGGCAGCAAACGCAGAUGAGGUUUUGCAAGCCGCACAAGUAUAUGACAUCGUAAUCGUAGUAUGGCGCACCAUUUGCUAUCGACAUGACAACCAGCGCGCAACAAACAGUUACAUCGAAGCACGAUGCCCUGGUGAUGCCAGCAUCUCCUGACCCGGCGGCCACUCAUCGGCGUCGAGUACGCGAUCGGCCCCUAUGCAUGCGGGAGCGGUUAGCUAUCACCAUAGACGAUAAAUUCGUCACUUGUCGCCUGAAGGAUGGAGCACACAUGCACUCUUAGUAGAAAACUAGAUUGACAACAUCACAUGUAAAUUUGAAAUUUAAAAAGUCAUAAAUUAAGCAUCCAAAUUAAAUUCCGAUUGCAUCACUGUUUUUCAUUAUUUCUUAAAAAAGAUCUUUAAAACACACUCGACUAUAUUUGGAUGAUUUUUUAAAAAUAUAUUUUUUAAUACAAAAUAUUAAAUUUGAUUACCGCGAACAAAUACUUGAAUAACUAGAACAAAUAAUUAUAUAACAAGAACAAAAAAAAUUACAAAAUGAACAAGUGAUUAUAACUAACAAAUAAAAUACUGAACAUCAAAGAAGUUUGUAUGAUGCAAAUAAAAAAGACGUGUCCGAGUAUAUUGUAAACAAAAUAUUGAAAAUUUAAUGGUGCAAGACAAAACAAUAGAAUAUGAAAAUCAAGUUAAAAGAUUAUUUUAAGAUACGUGCACCUAGAACAAAUUAUAAUAACUCAAGGAACAAAACAUAUUAUCGAACAACUUAUAUGAACUCACGGAACAAAAAUAAAUACAUCCGGAACAAAUUAUAUGAACUCACAGAACGAAAUAGAAGUACCCAUCAAACAAAUUAUAUAAACUCAUGGAACAAAAGAUCUAUAUACCUCGAACAAAUUGCAAGAACUCAUAGAACAAGUAUUUAUACACCUCGAACGAAUUAUGUGAACUCAAUAAAUAAAAAAUUGUACACUUGGAAAAAUACAUUAUGAACAUAUAAUAUUAUUUAAUCCACAGGUCUACAUGGUUGAAUAGUUUAGUCUUAAAUAAUUUGGCGCACAAACAAAUAAUCUGAAUUAAAAUAUAAAAAUAAAUUAGUAAUUAGGUAAGUAAUAAAAAGGAAAACAAAACAAAAGAGAAAAAAGAAAGAAAAGGGAACGAGAAAAGAAAAUAAGAUGAGAUGAGAUGAAGUAAAAACAAGAUAAAUAAAAGAAAUGAAAAAAGUGCAAUAAAAUAUAAGAAAAACAUAAUAAAUAAAUAAAAGGGGAAAAUGAUAAAUAGCGUACCGAGAAGGAAUAUCUACCAGAAGGUUAGAAAUAAAAUAGAAGAAAAAAUAGGAAUGAAGAAUAUAGAAAAUGAAAAGCGGAGAGAAAUGGAAAAAAGCAAAAGGGACAAAGGUGUAACGUACGUCCCUAUGGAUUAGAAGAAAAGUUAAAUAGAGAGAAAAUGAAGGAAAUAAAUGGAAAAUAAAAGUAGACUAAAAAGAUUAGAAAAAAAUAAUCUAGUAACGGAAGGUAAAAAACGAACGGAAUAAAAUUACUUACGGAUAGAAAAAAAUGAAAAGAGUGAAAAACAAAAACGAAAAAAGGAAGAUUUUACGUAAAAAAAAGUAACCGCUCGGCUCGCGUCAUCAGCUAACGCAGCGCAGGCCAGCAGCAGCUGGAAUUGGCCGGCACCAGCAUUUCGGAACGUGAAUGCGAUAUGGGCUGGCAACAGCUUUGAAUGCGAUAUGGGCCGAAUUCACGCCACCAGCCCACGCGGAAUCCUUCAGGCGACAGAUAGAUUGCUGUCGCGUAUGCAACGCAUAGUCGCUGAGACUCUACAAUUGAAUUAAGUUCAUGUUUUAUGUGCAAAAUUUUCGGAUAAAACAGCUAAUAUUAGAUGGACUUCACGAGCUGAGGGGCCAGCACCCAUGCAGCUCCGGCCCUGGCCUCGUGCACGAGCUGCGUCGGGUGAAUGCUGUCCUAGCCGCUCACGACCUGAUCACGUACCGGUCGGACCCGUCGCGUUUGUCGUGACAUGCUAGCUCGGGAUGCACCCGAUCGGGAUCGAAAUUGCCCGAGAUGACCAGCUGGUCCAGCAAGUUGAUCGGGAUCGGUGGCGCCUUCACGGAUGAGAUAGCCGUGAUGCCAUCCACCGUCGUCGCCGCCGCCACCGCCACUCCAAGGCAGCAGGAGGAGGAGCACGCGACGAGGAGGAACGCCACGAGCCUACCAGCACGCGGCGUCCCAGGAGACGGGCUUAUGACCACCUACGCGGCGUCCCAGGAGUCACAGGAGGCUAACGCAAGCAAGGUGAUUUAAGUACCCGACGCUAGCUCAAGCUAUAUGUUCAAUUUACUCAUGAGAUUUAGCGAGAAGCCGAGAAGUUAUUGUCAUUGUACAUUCGAGCGUGCAAGGUAACCGAAGAGGAAAGAGUAUCGGCCAUCUGGCUUAGAUGCCGGACCUGUCGUUUCGAAGAGUGUCCGCCCAUCUGGCAAGAUGCCGGCUUGUGUGGUCUGGUAAGUUUUGCGAGCACGCGACUCCAAAUCUCCAAUACGCUCCAUUGCCGAUUCCGCGCUUGCAGGUGUAGGUAGCGUUGCUUCUGGGUUGUUGUCACGCUGGUCAGGCCGGCGGUUAGUGGUGCCACGGUCCGGUCAGGCCCAUGGAAACAGAAUCCUAGGAACCAUAUCCGGAGGAAACGAGAUGCAGUGGUAUAAUAACCAGUAAAAAGCAAAUGCGAGAAAUUGCAAAUUGCAUAUUUAAGACUCAGAAGUACUAUUAAGCUCGCGAGCUAAUAAAAUACAUCCUCCUUGAAAUACGUGUCGUUGUUGAUUUUUCUUGCUACGGUUGACCAUUUGUGUUAUUCAAAAAUCUGAUAAAGUAAGUCAUGCUUAAAAUGCCUAUGAUGGUGAAGUGUCACAAACAAAAUACAUGACACUUACAUAUUUCUUUUUUACCAAACAUCAUGACCAAAAGUCAAUAAUAUUUUCAUACGGAGGUAGUACAGGAAGAAAUAAAGAUGGAACUAUAGAACUACAAUUCACAAGCCAUCUAACUAAACUCUAAAUCUCUAAUGAAGGACGCCCGUUGAUCGUCAGGUACGCGGGAACUCUACCGGCGCCGGGGACGCGAAGCCCUUGCGGUAGAGCAAGUCGGUCAUGACCCUGUACGCGCUCUGUGUCAGGUGCACGCCGUCCCAGCUGAUGCGCUCGUCCGGCCUAGCGCACACCGACGCGCCCGGCGCGCCGCACAUCCGCUCCAUGUCGAAGUUGUACGCGCCGCCACCGGCGCCGCAGCACGCCUUGGUCACCGCACCCUCGUCGAACCCCGUCUUGCCGGCGUCCCUCAGCAUCUGCACGUACGCGUAGAAGUAAUCGCCGUAGGCGAUAGUGGCGCUCGGGUACGACCGGCGCAGCUCUCGGAUUUCCUGCUGCAGCAGCACGUUGUGCAUCUGGGCGAACAGGUUGAGCGACAUGAGGCAGCCGUUGGCGUCGUAGGCCGCCGGGUCCGUCUCGUUCGCGGCGGACAUGUAGCUCGGCACGCAUCCCAGCGGGAAGUUUCCCGGGAUCACCAGCCGCGUCGCGCCCAUGUCGAGGAGCUCCCUGGCCGCGUUCGUGACGGACCGCACCACGUCCGGGACGAGCGCCAUCGCCUCGACCACGCCAGUCGCCAUGCGCCCGAAGUUGUAGAAGUUGCGCGCGCCGCCGGUCACCGGCCUGUUCUCCGAGAAGGCGUAGUUGUAGUCGUUCCCACCGAUCUCGCCCACCAUGACCAGCGACCGGGCCAGCUUCUCGCGGAUCUCCUGCGGGGAACGGGUGUUGGCGCUCAUGAAGUCCUUGAACUGCUGCAGCUGGACGGCCAGGGAGGUGUUGGUGUGCGGGACAGCGACCCCUCUCCUCGCGAGCGCCGCCGCGUCGAGGGCGGUGGCACCGGCGACGGCGAAGUUCACGCCGUGGGUGAAGUCGGCGCCCUUGUCGAGGUACGGACUGAGCAGCGGCAAGCCGAGGUCCUUGGCGAGGAAGUCUAUCAUGAGGUACCCGUCGGAGCACCGGCCCGUGGCGCCGCUGAUGGCGGAGCCGUAGGGAGGGCCCGUGGUGUACUGGAGCAUGCCGGUGGCGCCUUCGCGGAGCAGGUUCCCGGUGUCGGACAGGGAGUCGCCGAAGUUGUAGAUGGCCGUGAUGCCGUCCGCCACCGCCUUCUCCUUCGCCGCCUGUUGCGGUGCCGGCCUUGCGUGGCACGGGCCGACGAUGAGGAGCAGCGCCACCAACGCGGCGAGCACGAUGCGAGCCAUGGUGGUCCGGUCACGUACUGGAAGUCUGCUGGAACGCUGCGUUCGUUUUGGCCUGUGGAAAAGUUGGAGGCAGGCGGGCGCCUUUUAUUCAGCGGGCAGUGAGCUCUCGUUCGGACUAGGAAACCCGAGGCCACGAGCAUGUCCGAGCCGGAGAUCAGUUGACUGCGCGACCGAGUCGCCAUCUGGUCAGACCCGCGCGCACGAAUCUCCAGGCGACGGGGAAUCGGUAGCGGCCGCGCGUCCUUGCACAUAUCUUGACGCAGCAGAGGGUAAGGGUUAAAGGCCGCGGCCGAAGGGUUUGCUCGGCUUCCUCUCUCCCUCCCCCUUCCCUCCCGCGGCGGCGCCUGCGAGACCCAUCCGCCGCCACGCCAUGGCCAAGUUCAACGUGGUGCAGAAGAACAAGCGCCAGUGGAAGCAGGACCGCAAGCGCGCCGCGCAUGGGGAGCCCGGCACCGGCAAGCUCAAGCAGCGGACCGCGCCCAUCUCCAUGUCCGGCAAGCGGAAGCGCAAGAUCGAGCGCCGCCUCAACCGGGUGAGUCUGGCGGUUUUCUUCUCUGGGAUGUUGUUUGUUUGUGCGGAGGUUUGGCAUCUCUGAUGCCUGUUCUGUUGGGUUUGUGGUGCAGGAUCAGAAAGAGGCUGCGAUGAUUAAGGCUCUCGAGAACAACAUGGGGGAUGUCGACAUGGUCUCUGCUGAAGGUGCGCUUGCUUGUUUUGAUAAGGGUGAUGGAAAAUUGAUCUUAUUGGGAUUCAGUUAGGUCUAAUUUUGGAGAAUGUUGUGUGCUAGUGAGGUGUGAUUUUUUGUAGGAUUGACCCAGAUUGGUUGUUUGGAGGGUUAGGGAUAAUUAUUGAUUCGUUUGUAAAGUAUAAUGCUGUAGAGAAUUGCAGAAGUGCUGUAUUGGUACUGCCGUUUCUUUUGAAAUUUAGUCGAGGGAUAACUAAAUGUGUUAAGCUCCACCCUAUCAUGGAAGCUAGAGCAAAUUGGAGGGGGUGCACUUGCCUUAUGGGUGCAUAGAGUUUAGUUGUGAGGGGUGCAUAUAUGGUGCAAAUUUGUACCUAACCACUAUUUUUUUUUAACUUUUUAAUGCACCCCCUAAUCACACUAUACCUUCGCCCCAGCUAUCAUGUUUGCUUCGCUGUUUGUAAACUCCACGGUAGAUUUGGUGGAAAAUUGGAUAUUACUGGUUAUUGCAUCUUUGAUCAUGAAAAAACUGAUUUUUCUGUUUCCAUCUUGCGUUGCAAUACGCUUAUUGGUGCUAUUUCGUCUUGUUGGUAUUUGGAAACGAGUUUCCAUCUAGCUUGUUUUAUAGUUAAGUUUAUUUUGUUUGUGUCAAUAAUAACUUUAUCACCUCCGCUUGAAAACAGAUAAUAUUUCUAUGACAUACCAAGCAAAGCUAUUCUGAUUCAUUGUGAUGAAAUGCAUAACCUAUAGGCAUAGCCAGUUUCUGCCUUUCUGGCAGUUUCUGGAUCAUGGUUGUCUGUAGACUUGUGAAUCAAACUAAGAUAAUCUGCCUUAAGGUUCUUCACAAAAUAAGAGUUUUGCAACAUUUAGAUGUUCUAAUUAAAUGUUAUAGACUGCUAAACUGUCAUGAAAGUUCUCCUGAGAGGGCUAUUACCUUGCUCACAAAGUUCUCGUGUUCCUGACUAGGGCAUAUGUGUGUCCUAGGUUCCUAACAACAUGGGUAGCGAUGGUCUUAGAUUAACCUGCCUGCCUAGGGAAUUCCAUUGGCUUCUGUUGUUUCUGUCAUAUUAUCUCAGUGUGUUGUUUGAUUUCAUUUCCACAUAUUUGGUCCGGCACAUUCUUCCCCUGUUGACCUUUAACCUCUAUAAUAAAUAUUUAUCUGAUAACUACUGCAACCCUGUUUCUUACUUUCGUAUUUUUAUGGACAGAGUCUUCAGAAGCUGCAAAGGGCAAGUCUCAAGUGAAGGUCAGUGUGAAGAAAAGCUCCAGGAUACAGAUCAAAAGAUUAAAAGGCAAAGGUAAGUUUCCUGUUGUUCAACUUAGUAAUACAUCAUACACCAAUUCCUUCUUUGUGAACAAUCAAGCAGUCUGCUUACUUUGUGCCAUCAUGUGAUACGUCUAUCCAACCUUGUUGAUUCACUCUGCAGGUAGAAAGAAAGCCAAAAAUGCAAAGCCGCCUACAAAGGACAAAGUUGACGCCAUGGUAGAAUGAAGGAUAGGUACUGUGAAGCCUUUGUACGUUUGCUGAGAACCAGCAAGGAUUGCAGAGACUGACCUCGCCAAAGUGGGGAGCGUGAACUACCUUGCGGCUUGUGCCACUACCGCCUGAAUGUUCAUUAGGAACUACUUAGAUCUGGUGUUAAUGUAUCGAACUUCAAACAUGAAUCAAGUUUUGUAAUAGUUGAGUAUGCAUGGGUUUUUUUUUCAUGUUCUUGUUGGGUUUGUGUUUGUGGAGAUGUUUUGUUGUGAAUUGGCGCCCGUCAUCUGUUGCAGUCAGGAAUAACCGAUCUGCAGUGCAGCAAAACAUAACUAUCCGUUCCUGGUUUGGGCAGAACAGGCCGUGCGCCGCGUGCCUGGCUGUCCCAGACAUUUUUCUGUUACCAUUGCUCAAGUGCAAGCUGGUCCGUUUGGCAGGAAGGAUCUCGCAGGGGCAGGGGUGUGUUUGGUUUGGUGGUCGAAGGUUGGAACGGGUUCAACCCUCGUGGAUCCACGUUUGGUUGGAGAGGGAUGGGGGUUGGGUCGGACCUAAUAGGGAAAUAUUCGUCUGAGAUGCGGGUCGAACGCAUCCGCUCAAAAUGAGCGGACGUACUCGACCCGCAUCGACACCGUGUGCGUCCGUCCGUGCGUGCGGGAGGAGGCGGCAUGGCACGGGGGUGGCGAGGAGGCGGUCAGCGGGGAGGAGGCGGCGGCCGGCGCGGGGUGGGGAUGAGGAGGCGGGUAAUAAAAAAAAGAUGACAAAUGGGACCCGCAGCUGAUAGGUGGGACCCGUUGCUAACGGUGCUAAAAUGUCAUACAUCCUAUCCUUCUCAACCCCUUCAACCAAAUAAAAGACUAGAAUGAACCCAUCCCUCUUCAUCCCUCUCAUCCAAACACGAGAUGGGUCGACACCAACUCACAAAAGGAGGUCGUGUCCAACCACAUGUUCCAAAACCAAACACACCCAUAGCUGCUGAUCGGCUUACGGCGAUGCCGUUUCGCGGCAGAUGAAUAUCCAAAACUCGUUUUGCCAAGAUAGGCGUACAUUCCGUGUGAUUUUGUUAAUGUGUCAAGGGUGUGCCUGGCCUGAAAAUUUAUGUGCGUUUUUAUCUUUCUUAACUUUAAGCUCCAUUUUGUAGCAAAACCCCAUCUAUUCUCUUGCAGUCUUAUCACUGCGGCAUCCAAACUUGCCCAGAAACAACACAAUUUAAGAGCUGAGAGCCUGAAACAAACUUUAUUACAGCCAUGUUCAGUAUUGAAGCACGUUUUGCUGUCAGCAGAAAUUUUAUUCAAGAUAGAUGACACAAACAAACACCAGACAUCCGUGUGGCAAAUAACUUGGCACAUUCAGACAGUUCAGUACAGUUACAGAGUACAGACUACAUGGCACAACAUACAUCUAUAAGACAUUUGGUCUCAGGUGAUAUUUGAUUCAGGUUACAUGCUUGACACCACAACACAUACUACAGCAGACUUGAACAUGUCCAUUCAGACAUACUAUCCUACUCCAGCUCAAUCUGCACCGCUCUACGCGUCGGCCUUGAGGAAGAGUCCGAGCCGUUGCAUGAUGCCGGGACGGCCAUACUCGGCGAUGCACAGGCGCCGCAGGUCCCGUGCGUGGAUGCUCUCGUCGGGCAGCACCGCCCUCUCCAUCUCCAGAAGCUGCCGUCGGAUCUUCGCCUUGGCGAUCAGAUCGGUCUUGGAGUGCUUCUCUGGUUCCGUCCUCUGCACCACCUCCGAUGCUGGUUCCGGUGCCGGCUGCACAGAUGUUCCGUUCUCCUGGGGAAGGACCGCCUGUGGAAGUGGAACCGGGACGUCGACGGUCUCGUCGGGAUCGCUGUCAGAUUCGCUGUCCGAAUCUGAAUCACUCGAAGAUGAGCUUCCGGAGUCGCUGUCUGAAUCUGAAUCGCUCGAAGACGAGCUUCCAGAAUCGCUGCUUGAAGUCGGGCCAUUGCCGGAUUCGCCAGCCUUCUCAACGGGAACGGCAGGGGAGACGCCGCCGCAGAUGUCGACGAACUCGUUCUUGUCCUCCGCGCUCUCGAACUCAACGAUCUUCGCGGGAGUAGAAACCUUCGUCCGCUGCGCCGGUGGCGUCUUGAUGGAAGCCUCCGCCGGCGCUUCCGAUCGUGGCUCGGCGGCGGCCAUGGACCGCCCGUUGUUGCCGCUGGACAAGAGCUCCGCCUUCCUCAGGAGGGCGUGGAGGGCGUCGAGCUCCGCGGCCAUCCUCUUCCGAAGGGUUCCCAGUGCAGGCUCGACGGAGAUCGUCUUGACGCCGUCGCGGGUCACCUUGGUACGCUUCGGACUGGGCAACGAGAACUGCUCGUCUGCGCCGGCGCGGCGAGCCGACUUCUUCUCGCGCAGCAUCGUGCCACAAGUAGCGGUUUCGACGACCCGCGGCGGCUUGACGAACGGGCGGGCGUUGGGCACCUCGCCGCCGCCGCCGACAGGAAUGACCUCCAUCUCGACGACGACGCCAUUACGGACGACCUUGGUGUACUUCGGGCAGGGCGCGGAGAGCUUCUGAUCGCCGCCGACUCCGCGGGUCGUCGACGAUGACUGCCGCGCCAUGGCGCCGCAAGCCGCGGGUGCGGCGGCCCGCGAACGCUUCGAGAACGGGCGGGCGACGGGAGCGGGAGCGGCGCGACGAAGGGCGCCCAUGGUUGGCCGCACGUCGAAUGGGCGAGCAAACUCUCGCGGGUCUCGCCGGACGCCGGGAGGGAGAACUCAGAGAAGAGGACCGGUGGGAGAGGGAGGAUGGAUGUGGAGGCAUGGAGGCAUGGUGGGGUGCUAUUAAUCGUCCCCGGGCGAGUGAUUCGAGUCGGAGACGGUCGCCGCCACGCGCUUCCGAUGCGCCGGAUGGUUCCGACUUCCGAGUCCGACUAGAAUUCGAACGAGAAGCAAGCUUCGCGCCUUGCCUGUUUUCCAAGCACCAGGAGGCGGCAGUAUGUUUCCGUCUCUCCCGCCAGAAAACGUAAUCCGACGAGGCAAUUGUUUGCCAAAACACAAAACCAAUCUGUUGCCUGAGACCGAUUGGCACAAGCCGUAAAUUGUUUUGCCAAAACACAAAACCGCUCUUGCACCUAGACGAUUUUGACAAAAUGAAAUGCCCAGGCAUGCACGGAUUACCGAUUCAUGGUGUGUAUCAGUGCAACACUUGAUGUACUCCGAACGUAUAAUGAAACGAUUAUUCAGAAAAGAUCAAAAGAUACAUAUUCUCGCUCAUAGUAUUGCGGUUCCCAUCACUGAACACGGUUGGAGAAUUAUGUAACAGCCUAUAACACUGAUCAACAACAGAAACAAAAAUCCAUGCAAAAAGAAUACAAUCUCAUCGAUGCAUCCAGGAAUCUCUAUGGAAUUACCUCGGCGCAUGUAAAGUGCAAGUGCAAAAUUUAAAACAAACUAUUUAUUAUGGUAUUCUCGGAAGAAAACACAAUUGGGAUAUUUCCAACAAAGUACUAAGUCGUGCAUUGGCAUUAUUUGUCAUACAUGGAGGGAUUACACGUAAGAAAAGAGAGAAGAUUAUUUGCCGCAACUAACUAGUCUUUCGAGUCAUGACUAAGUGCUGUUUAGAAGUUGUCCUAAGUCAGCUAUAUUAAACUUUGGUUAAAUGGGUUUUUUUAAUGUCAAGUUUGGGUAUUUAAAAAUGACACGAGUAGCUGAUUCGUCUCCAAACGUACUUUCAUGAAACACACUUUUACUUUGUUUUAUAAAUAUUUUCUAAUAAAAGUACUACUCAAAGGUGUUCUUUGUCAAUGUCCAAAAUAUCCUUAAUUGUGACAGGAGGAAAGUUAGCGUACAACAUAAUCCAAUAUGUGUGAAUUAUUCAAUGCCCAUAUAUUAAACUAGUUGGAGAGGUUGUCUAUUGUGUCAUUUAUAGAUGACAUGGACACUUACUUUUUUUUGAAAGGAUGACAUGGACACUUGUGAAUAAGCCUUUCAUUGAAAAAUAAAAAUAUAUCUUGCACUCUCAUAAAAUGGAGGGAGCAAUAGAUUCCACAUUUGAUAAAUUGCACUUACAAAUUCGCAAUAUAUUUCAUGACACGUACACCGGUACACCGUACACGGUGUGGGUUGGAAACUUGGAACUGACGUCAAGCUGUCCCCGCAGGUUGCUUGGCGCCGUAGCCGCCGUACGGCGGAGGAGCAGGC